This 2913-nucleotide ribosomal RNA is filed under the name human gut metagenome. Its description in RNAcentral is "bacterial LSU rRNA". It matches the Rfam family "Bacterial large subunit ribosomal RNA". The record is from RNAcentral.
UCAAGCAAGUAAGAGCACAAGGGGAAUGCCUUGGCACCGGAAGCCGAUGAAGGACGUGAUAAGCUGCGAAAAGCUGCGGGGAAUCGCAAAUAGGUAUCGAGCCGCAGAUGUCCGAAUGGGGAAACCCGGCUGAGAAAAGCUCAGUCAUCCAUAACUGAAUUCAUAGGUUAUGGAAGGGAAACGCUGUGAACUGAAACAUCUAAGUAGCAGCAGGAAGAGAAAGAAAAAUCGAUUUUCUGAGUAGCGGCGAGCGAAAAGGAAAUAGGCCAAACCGAGAGACCUAGUCUUUCGGGGUUGCGGACUGCAUACCGUAUUGACAAUUGAUAGCUGAACUGUUUUGGGAAAGCAGACCAGAGAGCGUGAAAGUCGUGUAAGCGAAAUCGAGAGUCAGCGAGCAGGAUCCAGAGUACCACGGGACACGAGAAACCCUGUGGGAAGCCGGGGGGACCACCCCCCAAGCCUAAAUACUAACCGGUGACCGAUAGUGGAGUAGUACUGUGAAGGAAAGGUGAAAAGGACCCCGGGAGGGGAGUGAAAGAGAACCUGAAACCUUGUGCUUACAAACAGUGGGAGGCGUAUAGUUCCGUAAGGAAUUGUUGCUGACUGCGUACUUUUUGUAGAACGGUCCGGCGAGUUACUAAUAUUAGCGAGGUUAAAUACUAAGAAGGUAUGGAGCCGAAGGGAAACCAAGUCUGAAUAGGGCGUGAAGUUAGUAUUAGUAGACCCGAAACCGGGUGACCUAUCCAUGUCCAGGUUGAAGUUACCGUAAAAGGUAAUGGAGGACCGAACGCACAUCUGUUGAAAAAGGUGGCGAUGAGGUGUGGAUAGCGGAGAAAUUCCAAUCGAACUCGGAGAUAGCUGGUUCUCCUCGAAAUAGCUUUAGGGCUAGCCUCGAGAGGAGUCUAACGGAGGUAAAGCACUGAACUGACGCGGGGCCCAAAAAGGUUACCAACUCAUAUCAAACUAAGAAUGCCGUCGAGAUACCCUCGGGAGUCAGACUACGGGAGAUAAGUUUCGUUGUCAAAAGGGAAAGAGCCCAGACCGACAGCUAAGGUCCCAAAGUGUGUGUUAAGUGGGAAAGGAUGUGGGAUUUCAAAGACAACUAGGAUGUUGGCUUAGAAGCAGCCAUACAUUUAAAGAGUGCGUAAUAGCUCACUAGUCGAGAGAACCUGCGCCGAAAAUAAUCGGGGCUAAAACACACCACCGAAGCUACGGAUUUCCUACAAGGUAGGAAGUGGUAGAGGAGCAUACUGCAAGGACGAAGCCAAAUCGAGAGAGAUGGUGGACGAAGCAGUAGAGAGAAUGCCGGAAUGAGUAGCGAGAUAUAUGUGAGAACCAUAUAGGCCGAAUAUCUAAGGUUUCCUGGGUGAAGCUAAUCUACCCAGGGUAAGUCGGGACCUAAGGCGAGGACGAGAGUCGUAGUCGAUGGACAACUGGUAGAGAUUCCAGUACUAUGUAUGAUCAGAACUGUGGGGACGCAGGAGGAUAGAUGGACCGCGGAAAGGGAAGACGCGGCCAAGCACAAAGGCGAGGUCAGUAGGCAAAUCCGCUGAUUGAUGUUGAAGUGUGACGGGGACUGAAAGAAAGUAAGGAAGUCAUUGAAUCCACACUGCCGAGAAAAGCCGCUAUUGUGUCAUACAUACCCGUACCGCAAACCGACACAGGUAGAUGAGGAGAAAAUCCACAGGCCGACGGGAGAAGUGUUGUUAAGGAACUCGGCAAAAUGACCCCGUAACUUAGGGAGAAGGGGAGCCACGAGAAGUGGUCACAGAGAAGAGGCUCAAGCAACUGUUUAGCAAAAACACAGGUCUCUGCGAAACCGAAAGGUGAAGUAUAGGGGCUGACACCUGCCCGGUGCUGGAAGGUUAAAAGGAGAGGUUCGGAGAAAUCCAAAGCUUUGAAUUCAAGCCCCAGUAAACGGCGGCCGUAACUAUAACGGUCCUAAGGUAGCGAAAUUCCUUGUCAGGUAAGUUCUGACCCGCACGAAAGGUGUAAUGAUUUGAGCACUGUCUCGACAACACGCCCGGUGAAAUUGAAGAACCGGUGAAGAUACCGGUUACCCGCAACAGGACGGAAAGACCCCAUGGAGCUUUACUGCAGCCUGAUACUGGGAUUCGAUGAUGUAUGUACAGGAUAGGAGGGAGACUGUGAAGGGAGUACGCCAGUAUUCCUGGAGUCGACGGUGGGAUACCUCUCUUACAUCAUUGGGUUUCUAACCUGCAUCCGUAAUCCGGAUGAGGGACAAUGUCAGGCGGGCAGUUUGACUGGGGCGGUCGCCUCCAAAAGAGUAACGGAGGCGCUCGAAGGUCUUCUCAGAAUGAUUGGAAACCAUUCAAAGAGUGUAAAGGCAAAAGAAGGCUUGACUGCGAGGCCGACGGGCCGAGCAGGUACGAAAGUAGGACUUAGUGAUCCGGUGGUAAUACGUGGGAAUGCCAUCGCUCAACGGAUAAAAGCUACCCUGGGGAUAACAGGCUGAUCUCCCCCAAGAGUUCACAUCGACGGGGAGGUUUGGCACCUCGAUGUCGGCUCAUCGCAUCCUGGGGCUGAAGUAGGUCCCAAGGGUUGGGCUGUUCGCCCAUUAAAGCGGUACGCGAGCUGGGUUCAGAACGUCGUGAGACAGUUCGGUCCCUAUCCGUUGUGGGCGUAGGAAAUUUGAGAGGAGCUGUCCUUAGUACGAGAGGACCGGGAUGGACGAACCGCUGGUGUAUCUGUUGCAUACCAAAUGCACGGCAGAGUAGCUAUGUUCGGAACGGAUAAACGCUGAAGGCAUCUAAGCGUGAAGCCGCCCUCAAGACGAGAUUUCCCAUUCGAAAGAAGUAAGACCCCUUGAAGACUACGAGGUAGAUAGGUCAGAGGUGUAAGUACAGUAAUGUAUUUAGCUUACUGAUACUAAUAGGUCGAGGGCUUGACCGA